AAUCAACGCUGGCGGCGUGCCUCAGACAUGCAAGUCGAACGCGAAAGUUCCCUUCGGGGGACAAGUAGAGUGGCGCACGGGUGAGUAACACGUAGGUAAUCUACCUUUGGAUGGGGAAUAACAAUCGGAAACGGUUGCUAAUACCGCAUAAUGCAGCGGCACCUAAUGGUGACAGUUGUUAAAGCGGGGAUCGAAGACCUCGCGCCUGAAGAGAAGCCUGCGGCGGAUAGCUAGUUGGUAGGGUAAUGGCCUACCAAGGCGACGAUCUGUAACCGGCCUGAGAGGGCGGUCGGUCACACUGACACUGACAUACGGGUCAGACUCCUACGGGAGGCA
This 336-nucleotide ribosomal RNA is filed under the name uncultured bacterium. RNAcentral describes it as "bacterial SSU rRNA". It matches the Rfam family "Bacterial small subunit ribosomal RNA", at positions 32 to 350 of the family's 1533-position model. The record is from RNAcentral.